AUAUUCAUUAUGUGAAAAAUUCAUCAUUACGAUUAUGCUAUACGUUUUGGAAUAAAAACAAAAUAAUAGUAUAAUAAUGGUGUGCACUUUUUUCACAUCACGAACAUUGUAAUCUAUUAAUUGUAAUUAUAAUGGAUUUAUCAAACGGGUGCAUAUAUGAAAUUGCUUAUUUGAUCUUUGUAAAUUUAUUUAUUGAAGUAUNGAAUAAAUUUCGAAAUGUGUGCCCUGAUAAAGUUUUAAUAGAUUUUAAUAUUAUAUAAUGCUAAAAUAUAUGUAUAUAUAUUUUGCAAAGAGUUACAGUCGUCUAUAUAUGUAAUAAUAUAUGGCACUGUAUCGAAUUGCUUGCAUUCAUAUAAUUAACAAUGCGAAAGAUUCAGGAUACCCUCGAGACCCGUCUUGAAACACGGACCAAGGAGUUUAACAUAUAUGCAAGUUAUUAAGGUACNAUAUAUAUAUGUUUUCACAUGUAUAUUAUAAAUGUAAAACUUAAUAGCGAAAUUAACAUAACUACACUCCAGUAUAUAUUUAUAUAUAUUAUAUGGGAUUAGUUUCUUGUUCUAUGAAUUAUGAAUAAUGAUUCGUAGUUCGAUUAAUUCAAUCCCGGGGCGUUCUACAUAAUUGCAUACUAAUUUGUGUUUGGUUAAUUCCAUACAUUGUGGAAUGCAAUUG
This 669-nucleotide ribosomal RNA is filed under the name Penicillidia fulvida. RNAcentral describes it as "partial large subunit ribosomal RNA". Lineage: Eukaryota; Metazoa; Arthropoda; Insecta; Diptera; Nycteribiidae. The record is from RNAcentral.